Molecule: small RNA, 375 nt
Filed under: Pan troglodytes (chimpanzee)
Lineage: Eukaryota; Metazoa; Chordata; Mammalia; Primates; Hominidae
Description: processed transcript
Source: RNAcentral
AUUGCGCAGCUCGCUGCCGUGCGUUUAACCCAGGCGAGGAGGAGGAGGAGAAAAUUCCCCCAGAUUCGGGCAGGCCCGCACCCCACAUCCCGUCCUGUUUUGAGAGGAGGAGGGAAGAGAAAUAAACGUGGCAGCGCAUAGAAGGCCAGCAGGGAGGUUGGGAAAGGGUAACCAGGAGGCGGGGGUGGGGCAUGCAAUUUGGUAACAAUCUGGGCGGCACACUCCCACCCUGACUUUCCCCACCACCGCCCCCGCACCCUCCCAUCCCCCAGCCGACCCUCUGUGAUUUGGGAGUGCUGGGAAAUGGGUGUACCAGCUGCUGUUGGAGAGGUGGCGGGUUUGGCGCUGUCUGGGCUUCACGGGAGGUGGGGGGGA